GUACUACUGAGGUGUCUCACAAUAGGACGAAACGGCCGUCCAGUGU
Molecule: non-coding RNA, 46 nt
Filed under: Schistosoma mattheei
Lineage: Eukaryota; Metazoa; Platyhelminthes; Trematoda; Strigeidida; Schistosomatidae
Source: RNAcentral